RNAcentral lists this ribosomal RNA (482 nucleotides) under uncultured bacterium. RNAcentral describes it as "bacterial SSU rRNA". It matches the Rfam family "Bacterial small subunit ribosomal RNA", at positions 28 to 534 of the family's 1533-position model. The record is from RNAcentral.
GACGAACGCUGGCGGCGUGCUUAACACAUGCAAGUCGAACGGGAGUAUUGAAGAAGCUUGCUUUAGAGAUACUUUAGUGGCGGACGGGUGAGUAACGCGUGAGGAGCUGUCCGAUGCAGGGGGACAACAGUUGGAAACGACUGCUAAUACCCCAUAAGCCGAGAGGUAAAAGGAUUUAUCCGGCAUGGGAGGUACUCGCGUCCUAUCAGCUAGUAGGUGAGGUAACGGCUCACCUAGGCGAAGACGGGUAGCCGGCCUGAGAGGGCGAACGGCCACACUGGAACUGAGAUACGGUCCAGACUCCUACGGGAGGCAGCAGUGGGGAAUAUUGGGCAAGUGGGGGGAACCCUGACCCAGCGACGCCGCGUGGGUGAAGAAAUCCUUCGGGAUGUAAGCCCUGUUGUAUGGGAAGAGCGGAAGACGGUACCAUACGAGGAAGCCCCGGCAAACUACGUGCCAGCAGCCGCGGUAAACGUAGCGUG